CCAUCUGUAGUGGUACAGCGCCCAGGAACAAUUCACAGCCGAGACAACGGGACAUUAAAAGGUGAGUUGGGGUAAAAAAUACCUAUGUCAUGCAUGAAUUGCUGGACAGUUUUCACCCAUGGUUCAAGGUUUCAGCGGCUUACCGUCUCUCUCUCACUGUGUCUUGGGCAGUAGCCAUUGCAAAGUAAAAACCAAAUGUCACUGCAGCGCCUUUCUGAAAUGAGACCAACAUUUUAAGAAGAAGGAGAAUCUUUAAACAUCACAUGUAAAGGGGAAAAAUCUCCUGCACCUGCUGGAUGUAGUUUUCAGUCAGGCGGUUUCUAUUCGAUAUUCUGAAAGGACGUUUGAGGAAGCACUUUAUGGUGUAAAUGUAUUCAGCACAACAUGACAGUAGAGGGGCCUGGCUAUUGCUGCUGAAAUCAAUAUUCUCCUUUCACGGACGCUUUAAACAGUAAAUGCCUCUCUUUGAGGCAGAGCUGAAGAGCUGGAGGUGAUUGUGCAUGUGCUUGCACACACACACACACACACACACACACACACACACACAAAUCACACAUGUGCACACAUAGGUGAAUGCAAGAUUGGCUGAAAGAUACAGGGCUUCUAUGGAUUUUAUACAUAGUAGAGCAGCACCUUCCUGCUUUUUGAAGGCAUUCAUAAUGCAAAAUGCAUGAGGGUAGAAAAUAGAGCAAAUAAUUGCCAAGAAACCUUUAAAGUUUUCUGGCACAUGCUUGGGGAAAUAAUAAAAAAUAACUUUGGAUGAAAGUAUUUGAGGCUGUUGCUUUAAGUGAAGCCCUUUAAACUAAAUGUGACAGCGCCUUGCUUAUUCAGGAUGAGCAAAUGACAAAAAGAGAAGAUGGUGGGAUGAGCACUUACAUUCAGAGCAUUGUGGUUGAUUCUGCAUUGGGCUUAAAAAGGGUCAAAACUUCCCUUUCGAGAGUUACUAAUAUGUUCAUUCAAACCAUAAAUUGAGAUUGAGUAUUUGGUCAAAAUAGAAUCAAAUAAUUCAAAUAAAUAGGGAAUAAAUCACAUUUUAGCUGAAUUUUUGUUAUUUUUGCCUUUAGUGGUUUUGGCUCUAGCUCCUUUUUUUAACAAUUCCAAUCAUUCUUAUAUAACAAGUCAGCACUUUUUAUUAAAAAAGAAAAAAAAAGUAUUGACUUUAAAAGCAUUCAAAUAGUUGAUCAAAAAAAAAUGCCAUCAAAGUUUUACAGUGUGUUGAAUUAUGCAACAUUUCCCUCUACUUACGUUCUAUUUGAAUUCCUCACAUGAAUGAAAUAGUUGAGCCUUAGUCUCCUAUAAUUCAACACUGCUGUGCUGUCCUUGAUGAUUUAAGGUAAAAAGAAAGAGAGAGAUAGAAAGACAGCACAACACACAGAUAAAAGCGGUAUUAAAGGGGAAAUAUUCCAAACUCCAAGGGAAAGAAAACUCCAGCCACUAUGGCAAUAUUUAAUGUCCUGGACUUUAUGACUUCACUGUGCUGGUAGUGAACUGGACAGAAAUUUAGAUCAUUACAUAGUCAGCUUCAUCUAAUAGGUGAUAAAGUUUGAUCAAAACUGUAAUACGUCUUACUACUCGAACAUAUCGUUGAACUUGACUAAAUGGAGGUACUGUUUGGGGACUAUCAAAACUAACAGUAGUAAAAAGAUGGCAAACUUGAAACCUGAUACCAUCUUAGCAGCCAGAUGUGGCUUUGACACUGACCUGCAUUGCUUGUACUUUGUCAAACAAGUGCUAUGCAGAAUGGAAGAAAAUAUCCUGUUAUUUGCUUAAUUGCUUAAAUAUUAAUUAGUAGGGUAACUAAAAAUGGGCCUGGCCUACUUAAAUACAUCACAGUUAAUGAUACCUUAACCUGGUCCACACGCUUACACAUUCCUGGCCCCUAAUGUUUAAUAUGAUGUGAAAAAUAGUCUGUAGGUUGUAGCUGCUGUUGUCCAGUCAAACAUAUGUUAGAGGAUUUUGUUCUUUGUCUUUAUAGGAAAUACGCCUGGCUAAAUGGUAAGAGGUUAGGUGCCCGCCAGAAGUUAAUAUAUCUGACAUACUCAAUGCUCCAAAAUGUUAUGGUCCAGCUCUCUUAAAAAUUGUUGCUUAGUUCUUCUCAACAAGUGUUUCCACUAGAAUUAACUUGACUUGCAGUCCCAAAUUGGCAAUCUCUUUUUGUCAUUAUUCAUUUCUGCUCUGGAGGGUCUUAUCGAAAAGGUGCUGAGGUGAAGCUUUUGGUCUUCAGUUGUUAACUGCAGGAGCACGACUCAAACCUUCAUAUCAGAGGCAAAAACUGUCUGAAAUGUUAUUAGUUUCCACAUUAACAAUGAUCUUUUUGACGCCCAGAUGGUUUAGUAUCUUUUUCUUGGCUGAGUCACAAACUGGGAUGCUUGGCACAUUUAUAUGUCUGCUCUUAACAUCCCUAAUUAGUGUGUCUCCAGCAACAAGCAUUCGAUAUGGCACUGGUCCUGCCAGCAUUAGGCCUGUGUGUGGGAUUAAUGUCUCCGUGCUUGACAAAAUAGACCCGGUCUUGCACUGAGGUAAAUCCAAAGGCAUGAGUGGGUGUGAAGGCUGUCUUGGGGAAACCUCUGUGUGUAAGUGUACAAACUGGAUAGCCUUGAUAAUUUUGGAGAGUCAUUAAAGCUCCAUAAUGAGUCGCAGUGUGAGGAUUAGUAGGUCUGGGUUAUACGUCAUCUACAAUAUAAAUAGACUGUUUGAGUCAGAAUGUUUUAAUCUCCAUGUAUCCUGUGUCAAUCAAUGUGUUCACCAACUGAAGGAGGUCUGAGGAUGAGGUCUCCUCUUUCUCACUAAUAAUACAUGAUAAAAGCUUUUUUUUCUUCCAUGAUAUAAUGUCAAAGUAUUCUCAAGCAUACGUGGUUGAUACAAAACUUUCAAGAUCAUCUUUCUAUUUAGUUGUGGUUUCGAUUUUUCUUUGCAUAAGUGUAUCACUCCUGCACAAACCCUGCACUCUUUUCCACUUCUGCAAGUUUCAGUUCAGUGCUGAACUGCAUUUCAUUGUCUUUGAACUUGCAAACUGUGCAAGGACAUUUCACUCUAAUCUGAUCUAAUCUAACCUGAUUCUCUCCUUGUACACCUAGAGGACAGACUGUUGUUGGACACAUGACUGAGGAGUAGUUGUUUAGGGAAGUCUAAUGCAUCCAGAGACAAUUUGAGGACUUCUGGUUGAGCGUAGAGUGCAAUGGGAAAAAUGAAAAAAUAUCCUGAGUUUCCCCUUGUGUCUGGCUGCACUUAAUUCCUCAGACCUGCCUCUUAUAUCAGUUUGAACAUUGGUCGAGCCAAGAAUAUUCAUUAGGUAUAUUUAAAUACCUACUAAGCGUCAGCAGAGUUUCAAAACAUGAGAUGCAUGGAUGUCGGCAUCUUCCCUAAGAUGUGUCACAGCUCUUUUUAGUAACUUUGUUUGACUUUGCCACAACAUAGGGACUCUGAACAUCUUGAUUUUGCCUGAACUGCUUGUCAGGCUCUGCUGUCCUGUCUGGACAAUGCAGGUGCUCUGAUACAACUCCUCCAAGGACAUGUUCAAGCUUUUUCGAAAUUUCCAUUGACUGGAGAGUCUGUUUCAUUGACUUCCUCCACUUUGCCUCCACUCUGAUAUAUCUUGGAAAGUUUUGAGUUUUUCUUUUGACUGUAAAGUACAGUCAUAGCAACUUUUCUACUCCAAGGGCAUGGGCACACAGAUCUUACAUGAAGGCUACAAACUAAAAGCCACUUAUCAACAAUAGCUAAUGCAAAGCUAUAAUAGGGUGCAGAGGUGGGCACUAUCUGCUUGCCUCAGAUGUCUUCUCCAAAGACAAGUGUCUUCAAGUGUCAUAUUAUGACCUGUCAAUACAGGAUGAAAACACAAACCAGGCUGGGAAAAGAAAGGCCCAAACACCACCACACACUGAGGUUUACCCCAGCAGGAGGCCUGAGGUUUAUCCCAAGGUCUUAUUACUGGAGAAGUGAGCAAGUCGAGACUGCUCAUAACAGCAAGCCUCAUCUGAAACAUCAUUUUAAGAGGUAGUUCGCAGAAUACAUUUCACAGACAUCAUUAUAAGAUAAAUGAUGUGUUUUUCUAUCUGUAAAUCAUGUAAAGCUGCUCGUAGGUGUCCUCGACUCUUAGAGAUAAAAGAGGUCAGUAUAACAUCAAUAAAUAUGUCUGAGAUACAUUUUCCUCAAAAAUACUUUCUGUCCAGUGCAGGUGGUUCUUAUCAUCCAAAUUGAUGUUGAGUGUCUAUUGUUUUUGGAGGUUUGGAUUCAAUCAGUUACAUGAUUUUGAAAAGACAGACAGCUCUCUUGACAAACACCGGCUUUGGCAGCAAAUUUUACUCAAGUAGCAGAGUAGAGGAGAAACAAGGCGAGACAAUUAAAUAGCAACGGACACUAAUUCAACCACUACAUUUCUGUUCGGCUGUGGACUUCACCAACAUGAGGGAUCUUGGAUGUUUUAAUAUUAAGUUUAUUGCUUGGUUUGGGUAGCAGAAGGAGUUUGACUUUAAUCUAUUAAGCAGAUUGACUCUUGCGUUCAGUCCAUUGCAACAUCCGUCAAGGUGGUAUUUUGGCUUCACUUCUAAUAACCAGAGAAGAUUACAACACAUUGUUCUUACUGAUAGUCAAAUGUUGUGCCUUCUCGGCUGCUAGCCAAGCUACAGCAUUGUUGAUAGCUAGCUUAGCAAGCAUUGUGUUUAGGCGUUUCUAUAUCAGGUCCCUUUCUGAAUUGUCACUUUUGAUCAGGCAGUACUGACAUUUUGGCUGCUUGGUAAAAUGUUUUGUUCUUUCAUAUCUAAAUAUCUUGUGAGACUGUGUAAUAUGGAGGAUGUGCAGUUUUUUUAAAGCAAUAUUAACGCUGAAUAUGUUGUCUAUAAUGAAUACAUUUGAAUCGUGUCAUGUGAAACAUUUGUCAAUGCAAACUACAGUAAGUUUUUUACUGCAGACAGAAAAGUCGUUGUCCCAUUGAAGGACAGCAGUUCCUCAGAUGUGACAGAGCCAUAAUGAAGUUGGGUGGAUAAAUUCUGUUUGGAUCCAAGUUUCUUGAUAUAUUGUAAUAACCUGAGCUCCAGCGUUCUCCCAUGAUAGGUAUCUCAGAGACUCUGAGUGUAUCUCUCUGAAAAUAUGUACUUGGGUCCUCUACAUCUUAUAUGAUAAAGUACUUUAUGGACAUACUACAAUCUCAAACCAACGGAAUGCAAGGACAGGAGGUGAAUUACAAACCUUGAAGUUUACUCACAGAUGAGGAUGAAUGCAGAGCCUCAAGGCUCGUCAUGAGGGUGAUGCAUCAUGUUCUUGUAUGCUUAGGGCUUUCGGUAUACUAUAAAAUUGUGCUGACAAAAAAAGAAGAGAAAACAAAAACUUGUGCAUCCAAAGUGAUCAUGAGAUGCCAAUAACGCAGCCUGUGAAUUUACAUUCUCUGUUCCUCAGAAGUCUGUUCUGUCCAGGACAGCAGGAGAAAAAAGCAACUACGUUGGCAUUCCCAGGUUUGAUAAUCACAAAGACUGUGUGAGGGCUUUUGCACCAGCAGUGUGCAUCUGGGCCAAGAUUAGAUCUCCCUCAGUCCAGUGUGAGUGAAAACAUUACUGGGCGUAUUUAGGGAGGCUGUCAAAGCUGUCCCUUCCAGGCUGUGUUCAAUUCCACUUUGAGGCCCCGAGGGGUUGUGUCUGGGAAUUAGAACUGUCUUCCUCUCGCUCUCACCCACCUACCUGCACAUAAAUUCACACACACAAACACCCCUGUUGGCCAUGACCCAUCUGGUUUUUCUCUAUGUCUGUGGUUUCCCCUGUCUGAUAAGAGAGCCGGGGCUGGUUAGAUGACAAAAAUACAUUUAAUUACCCUCCAGCAACCCACCUACCCACAUACCAGGAUGGACCGAUUCACUCAGUUUCACAGUCUUUCACCUUUUCUCUGGUCUUUCCACCAUCUCAUCACCUGUCUUGCACUGACAGUCUUAUGUAAGUGUCCUGAAGGAUGAGUCUCACUAUGUUUGCACAUACACCAUGUGUACAGGCAUGAAUGCACACAGACAUGUGCACACAAACACAAACAUAAACACAUACAAGGGUUUUUGAGCCAGGGCAUGUCUGGAACUAGUUUCUUUAUUGUUAAAGGGGUGGUGGGUUUGCCUGUGAAGUAGCCUGUCCAUCAACCUCAGCUUGUUAAAGUCUUGGGGGAGUAGAUUGGCUGUGACAUGUCUUGUCUACCUGUCUCUGUGGAGAUGGUUACAUAAUGAGUCAGUUUGGAAGUUCGACGUCUACCCAGGUGAACUCAGUGCAUGUGGGGGAUGUGUGUGAAGACAUAAACAGGUCUAAAAAGGACGCAUGAAAAGAGAAAAAAAAUGUGAAGGCCAUGACUAAAAUGUUAUAUGGCAGGAUACAUUUUCUGAAUUGGAGCCUGUAGCCAUCUACCUGGUACAUCACAGCAGGCACAGUAUGGGGGUUGACAUGCAUUUGAAUAGCUUAUUUCCAGACUUGAGCACAGAUUUACUGGAAGAAAAAUGGUGUUUUAACCCCAAAAUUCAGACAGUGGUUGACAAGUCUAAUAGUGAGACGUCAAUUACCUGCAAGCUGUUUUCUUCUAUAUCCUAGUUUUGAGCUGUCAAUCAAAUUUGCCUGUAAUAUCUUCAUCCUUAAACCAAAGCUUAAUGUAUCACAUUUAUCCUACUCCUGAUGCCUUUUAGAGCUGAGUCGCAGAGGCAGAAACUAAUCAAUGGAAGCUAUACCAUUUUCUUGAGAAAAGUCUCCCAGCUGCUCCUGGAUGAUCUCAAUAAAUACCCUAGCUACUGUAUAUAUGAUAUACAACCUUUUUGGAGUGUUUAAUGUAUACACAAGGGUUUUGUAUCAGUAAUUCACGCCUUUACCAUUUCAAAGCAAGGGGCCCUUGAGAGUCCUGGUAAGAUGUGGAAUAACUUCAAUAACCAUUUUUCAACGUAAAGGAGCAGUAUAUCGACUCUGAACUCUGUGGGUUUCUGAGCUCCUGAGCCUACAGGUGCAUCUCAGCCAAUUAAAAUAAUGUGAAAAAUGUCAUUUUUAGAAGCUUAAUUUUUAAAAAAAGGUGGUUUGUACACAUUCAUUACUCAAAAUGUGAAAUAUUUCCUGCCUCUUUAUUUUAAUUGUGAUGAUUCUGACUCAUGAAAGUCAGAAAUCUAGCAUAUAAACUGAUCAUGUAUUCCCUUUGAUCAAUCAUUAAAGGACUUGAAACAAAGCACGUUCAUUUGUACGCUCAAUACCUGGUUAGGGCUCUUUUUCCAUUGAUUUUUGCAUCUAUGUGCUGUGGCACAGAGGGAUCAGAUAGAAGUGGUGCUGAUGUGUUAGUGAAGCCCAGGUGGCAUUCAUAAUAGCCAUUAGUUAACCUGUAAUUUAGAAAUGGGUGUAUCUCAUCUUAAAUGUUCUCUAUAGGGUUCAGGUCAGGUCAGCUGGCCAGUGAGAGCAUAGUUAGCAAACCAUUUAGUAGAUGUUUUGGAACAGUGGGCAGGUGCUAAGUCCUGCUGGGAAAGAAAUCUCAGCAUCUCAAUAAAGCUCAUUAGCAGAUAGAAGCAUGAAGCACUCUAAAACCUAAAGGUAGACAACAUAACUGGCCAACACAAGCAGAAGGCUUGGCACCACCCUGGUACACUUUUCCCUUUAACAUUCCAACAACCCUCUGCAGCUAUGCAGGUAACAACAAGAAAACCAGGUAGGUGAGAUUGCUGUUGGAGUGAAGUACAAUGAGUUGUAUUUACAGAGCAAUUUUACCCUUUUCUGGAGUUCAGUUUGUCAGCAUUCAAAGGCAUGUGUUUCCCCAUAUUUGUCUUUCCAUCUGUGAUCAAUUACCUGUUACCUGCUAGCCAACACAACAUGAGUCUGGCCUUGAAGCACUUAAAAAUUUGGUACCACUAAAAUAGGGUGACCAUAUUCUGAAUCCUCAAAAAGAGGAGGCUACUACACCAAAUAUUAGUCCUUAAGUAGUGAAUGCUAGUGCUGGCUUUGCUUUCUUUCAAUGUGUUAUAUCCAUUUAUUUUCAUCGGUGCUAUCAAAUUUUAUAGUUUUAUAGUAUAAUAUAUUCAAACUCACCAUUGACGUCCUUAAAUGGGUAUGACCUAUUAGCACCACCUUUGUACUUAAAAUAGACAGGACUAAUAGGUUUAGUGUACUAAGUUUACACAUCUGUGUCUGAUUAAGUGUGCACAUCUUGCAAAUAGACAAAGCAAAAUAAACUGACUACAAAGAUGAGAGACAGUUCAGCACAACACACUGACACUCUUUGAAGCAGUAAAUCUAAGAACCAAGGUGUGAACCCAGAGCCAGGAGUUGCAAGUGUUAAUAAUCUGAUAAUGCUUUUGCAUAUGCCUGUGAGUUUGAUGUGCAACCUAGUGACCUGGAUAAAACAGUUUACACCAGAAUCAUUCAGCAUCACGCAGCUGUGACAGUGUUUUUAAAGGGGAGUGAGAUUGCUGUGGUAACGCCCAUUCAAUACUGAUGCGAGGGCCCCCGCUCAGACAUGCAAAUAGCAUCAUUUUCAAGGCAUUGAAUGAUAGCACUAAGCACCUGUCUUUGCCAAUGGCCACCUGUUGCACUGUAAACAGCUCUCAUGAAAUCAUAUCACACACCAAGACAAUUGCAACCAGUUACACACACAGCCUUAAAAAUACAUCUCACUACACUUAAACAGUGAGAAAAUUAUUCAUAGCAGCUCUCUCAAUAUGUUCCAGGUCACAACACACACACAGAGUAUGAAAUAUCUUGACAAGUAUCUCUUAUCUGCUUUGAAACAAAUCUAAUUUUCCUGGAAACACCUUCUUGCUUGCGGUUGACGAAUUUCAAAACAGAGCUGAUAAAAAUACAGAAAAGAAAUAAAAGAAUACUCACUCACGUAUGAGGAAGUAGGAUGUUUUAAUUUUGGUUGAAAUGAGUAAUUGUUUUUGCUAAACCCUUUGUCAACUUUCAAAAAGUAUUGGUCGCAUGCUGUAUUUUUUUGUAAUCCUAUACAGAUCUUCAUGGAACAAAGUUGUUUGCUCUGAGGAGAGUGGAGGAAACAGGGAAAAGUGAUUGAAGUACAGGGGAGAGGAGAUUGACAGGUGGACAUUAACGGUGGAAAAAAUAGCCUGGUGAUUGCUGAGCGGAGACAGGUGGACGUUAAUGCAAAAACUGUGAAGGCAGUAGACUGUGGACAAUCUGCAUGUCAAGUAUCUUAAGUAGACAAGAAACCUCAUCAGUCUGUACCCUAAGGGGUGGGGCAGGGCUGUAUCCCCUCUCUGAAUCUCAUCUUUCAGUCAGUGUCGGGGCGUAUCUUGGGUCAACAUGUCCGUCUGUUAAGGGACAGGCACAUCCAUCAAACACACAAAUAAAAACAUACCAAACCAAAGCUGCACAGCUAUGAAAACCAUCACAGGUGACAGCAGCCGUUGGAAUAGUAAUGAAUUUUUCAUUUCUAUUCGAAAUUAAUGCUCAAAUUCCAACCAAGACCUGCGUCCACCCUCGCCCAAAUCCAGCAAUGGAUCAUUAAACACAUCAGCACUUAUAGUAACAAGCCACAGCUGUGAUUUUUCAUAUAAUCAGUGAUGCAUGGAAAUGCUUCCAGCCUUGAGGACAGACAAACUGCACACUCGCUCGUACACACAAGCCGUAAAGGACAACUUAGCUCAGGUAGUGCAAAACAAUCUUGGCAGCCAACCUUGGCAUAUUCUCAGCCUUUUACUAUCAACACAGUGAAACGGAGGGCUGACUCUCACAGUGUGCUGGCAAGGUAAGGUGUCCUUGGGUAAACUAAUGUACAAACUGCAUACAGGAAAAGUUCAUAUACCGCUCCCAGAUUAUAAGACCUAAACAGAUGGCAUAUGGCUCCGUUAAUUUAACGUUGGAAGUAUGACAACGCUAAGAGUCACUCGGGCGACGAGUGAUUGAGAAAGUUGUCUUUUAAAAAAGUAAGAGAAAGAAUGAGAAAGAAUAAAUAAAAGAGAGGGAGAAAAGCAGAGCAACAGAUGCUGAAUAUUGUGCUCAUUUAUUCAGGGCCUGCUGUGUUAAUGGCUAUGUAAAUCUGCAGGUCUCACAGAGUGGUAGAAACCAGCAUUGGCAGGACUCAACAAUGCAGCCUAAUUGGAGAUAAGCCUGAACAACAAGCUUAUAGCAUGGCCUCAUAAAUUACUGCUGCUACACCACACAGUCCGUUCCUGUUCUCCAUUACCACGACCCCUCCUCUCUUUACAUCGUAAAACAAAACAUUGUAGGCUUUCCCACUUUGAUUUUGUAACAAUUUCCGGCUGAAUUCAAUAAAAUCUUUUCCUUUUAUCCCACUCUGUCGUGACAGCAUCCUCCACUCCCUUACUCCCUUAAUUCCUCUCUCCUUCCCCCCUUUCCUACUUGCCCUGGCCCUUCCCAGGGUUGUAAAGGGGGCUGUGCAGAUUGAACAGUAAAUUAAAUUAAUGUAGGCCAUUUCUCAAUCAUUUUUCAUCCCCCUAAAAUGAUUAAGGCUGACGUAAGAAGUUCAUUAAAACAGAAAACAUUAGGCUCAUUAAAAAGCCAUUAAAACUAUCGCAGAGAGGUGAUUUAUGCUUGAGUUUGACUGGGGGAGGAAAUGAUUGGACGGAGGGGGGAGGUGAGUCCGAAGAGGAGGAAAUAGGAGACUGAGGUGGUUGAUGGUGGGGAGUCAGCUUUUUUAAAAGGAUGCCACAAACAGUAAACUCAAAGGAACCGGAGAGGAAUAGAGGCAAAAGAGAAACAGUGGGUGGCAAGCAUUAGAGGAUUUUAAGUGUUCGUUGGACCCUUCCUCAGCAGCACACCUAAAACGGAGCUCUGGCUGUUAGAGAAAACAGGUCUCUCCGUCUCUUUAAUGUCUUCACUUUAAGUCAGCAGAGCCUCAAACCAGACAUCAUUAACUGUUCUUAACUCUGCACAUUAGGCUCUGGCAUUUACCAAACUAAAUGUCAUUGUUUCUAAUCAUCAUCUGUAAAGCAGGAUACAAUAUGCGUGCAUGCUCAUGCAGGUGCACUCAUGCAUACUAAUGCUCCAAAUUUACACGUCUGUGAAAUAAAACUCUCUGCUUGUCUUGUUCUAUAUAUUCUCCUUCCUUUUGUGCGUUAAAUCUGUUCAGGAUACGAUACGUUCAGGGAGAUAGUAUCUCAAAGCCCAUUCUCUCCAUUUGACAAGGCAGAGGGAGAGCUUUCAGCCUACUGCUGCAGGUACAAAGUGGCAGAGAGAUCGCUGGAGAUGGAGAGGCAGAGAGGGAAUAUUUUGAAGAAGCUCUUUGAAGCAGCAGGCAGCAGUUCUGUGUCGGAUAGAUUCGGCUGUGUGCUAACGUAGCAGCUGGUGACUCAGACAACAGUGAGCCAGUUUUCUAGAGCUCAGCUCACCUGGAGAGGCUCAGCAGAUCGGAUGGUUAGAUUCUGCUCACUCUCUCUCUAGCUGGAGGCAAGGUUUCACUGAUAUGUCUGCUGCUAUCAAGCAGACAAGCUGUCUGUGAUACUAAUGCAUCAGAGCGUAUUCAACUUGGCAAACAUAGCGGAGUCCCUGUUAUUUUUCUCCUAACCUUUGAGCCUCUCUUACAAAUUUGACCAAAGCCUCUGUGAAACACAUUUGUGUCGGGUUUUACCCAAAGGAGUAAGGCAGUAUUAACAUUACUUGUAUUCUUUAUGCUCCUCUGCUUUAAUCCAUCAUUGGGCCAUGUUUCUUUUUAUUUUAUCCUGCUAAAUAUUUCACAAAAAAAAGUAAAACCCUUGCACAUUAUUCAUCCUAAAGCUCUAAAGCAUGGUCUGUCGGUUAACAAUUUAUUCCAAUAUUCAGGAGUCUCUUUGAGUGUGGAAAUGCACACACAUUGUUACCAUAGGACACAUGAAGCAUGCAAAGCAGGCUGGAGGGGCUGGUACGUUACAGAUCCCUCUAGGUGUGCUAAACGCUGCAUUUCCUCCUUUGAAGAUGGAUGAAACCUUUCCAUACAAAUGCCCAACUGUGGGCGUACGCAAACAAACACACGCAGCUAAACAAGCUCUAACUUUCAUGCUGAUGUUUUAGUGUUUAAAGAGAAUUCCAAAUAGCACCACACAUGGCCUGCUUUUAACCCAGAGGGAUCCCAAUGCAGGCUACCUAAUUGUCUGUGAAGCUGCCAACUGUGUUCCUUCUUUUUCCUUUUUUCUAAACGGGUGUGUGUUUAGUGUCUAACCACCCGGCUGACAAAGACACACUUUGAUAAAUUGGCAAACAGUUCAGCUAGUUAGCAGUCUGCCGACAUGGACUGAGUUUUUGUUUGUGUGUAUGAGAAUGGAGGUUGGGCUGGAGGAUUGGGAUUGUGUGUGUGCGUAUGUGUGUGUGUGUGUGUGUGUGUGUGUGUGUGUGUGUGUGUGUGUGUGUGUGUGUGUGUGUGUGUGUGUCAGUUUCACAAAGAGAAUGUAAAAGAUGUAGCUGGCUGUUGGUAACAUAUCCAAUUUGCAAGCUGGCUGAUGGUUCAAAGUUUCUCCACUGAGUAGCUAUACAUCAACGCUGUCUUCUGGGAAUGAGAUUUUUUUCCAUGACUUAUUUGCAUCAGCCAAUGUACUUCAGUUAUAAUCGAGAAAGCCAAUAAGCUGAUACGUAUAUCUGAACUUUCACUGACUCUUCUCUUGAAGCAACACAACUUUUUCAUGGUUCUGCUGCAUAAAGCACCGCAGAUAACCAUGAGUGCUUACAACCAUAAUUAUACAGGACCAUAAGCACAAUAUAAUGCAUUAUUACUAUAUUUAAAGUGCGUUAUAAUACAUUACAGAGAUGGGCUUUCUUGAAAGUGUUACUGUCUGGAUUUUACAGCUCUGACAACUCAAUCCAUCUUUAUUUUAGUGACGUUUUUAAACAAAUGACCUGUUCUUUUAUUUCUUUUUUUCCCCAAUUGAACCAGACUCACAGUGUUCCCAUAACUUUGAGAUAAAGUCUUGAAGCUACCUGAGGAGAUUUGAUCCUUUUAUAGGCUAUAUGAAGCUUUCAGAAGCAGAAAACCAUCACCACAGCAUGCAUGAUGGGGAGCAGGUGCUAGACAAUCAGAAAACACCCAAAAAAGUUACUUGGCCAAGCCCAGGAACAGCCCAGUGUACAGGGGACUGAACACAGACUGGGGAUUGAGGACCCUCCUUGACUCGGAUUGAAAACCUUCAUGGCCACUCAUACACUCUGCUACCAAAAGUUAUUAUUAAUCUCUUAAAAUUCUUUGUAAGUUGAAUAAAAAAAUGACCAGACAACUGGGAUUUUAUGUCAAAUAACUUGUUUGUGAUCUGCUUGAAUGACACUUGGAGACUCAAAAUAUCAUCCAACAACAUGAAAAAUUUGUGCUGGCAAUAACUGUGAACAAACUGAAGCCAGUUUGUUGUGUGUCACCCAGUGUAACCUUGGUCCAACAUUCUCACUCUUUCUGUUCAAAUUGCCUUUUUUUCACCGUUGCCUGUUUCUCGAGUUUGCUUUUGCCUGUCCCUUCAGAUUGUGUGAAUUUUUCAAUUGCCUGUGUACUGACCUGGCCCAGACUUGAGAACAAACCCUGUCUGCCUUUACUCUGCCCUUGUGAGUCCAACAGGAGUCCAUUGGUUUUGGUUAUCGGUGGUCUGUUUUACUUUUAUUCUCAGAGGGUCUUCCAUGAAUUGAGUUAUGCAUGGUCAGAAAGUCAACAUGGGAGCACAUUUACUGUUGAAUGGUUUGUCAGCGCAGUCCUACUCCACACUCAGAGGAUUUGGAUGGUACUCUCUAUGGGAGUGCAGAAGCAGCAGAGUGUAAGUGAGAGGGGGAGGCUGUGGAAACAAGGCACACAACUGAUUUUGAACUGGGGCAGUUGAGUAGCAUGGCACUUGCCAUGCAAUAUACCGAAGGGCCGAUCAUGGCCGGAUCCACUGCUCCCAACCAGUCACAUGAAUUUAUAGCAUUUUGGUUAGCUUUUAUUCUAAUGUCAGAAAGGUAAUGUUUGCAGUUUAUAUUUAGAGUCAAAGUCAUAUUAUUUGAUUUCAACUUUUGUUUUUGUUUGGGAGUUUAUCGAGAUUGUAAAUGCACUAUCCCUUUAUAGUGUAUCAUGUAACGUGAUCACUCAUGUCAUCCUUGACAUUUUUGUUUUGCAAGGUGUCCUGGGGACUGGGUUUGAUUAGGUGGUGAAAUAGCAACACUGUUAGCCUGUUCACUGUGUUUAGUCAAACUAACCGAAUCAUCUUGAUGGUGCUAGCUUGUGGUGGUUUUGCCCCCCCAAAAUACUGACAUUUGCUGGCUUCUGCACCACAUUUACAAUGGAGUAAUACCAUAUUGAUAUAGUCUGCUUUUGUUUGGAUGUUGGUAUAAUAUAUGCGUUUCAAAAGAAGGUAUCCAGUUAUCUCUUUUUAUAUAAGAAUACUGAAUCAGCACUAAAGAAGUGGAGCCUUGCUGAGUGUGUGAUACUAUCAUGUGUUGACCCGGUUACUUAAAUGCUGAGCAAGGUACUGACACACACAUGCACUGCACACCACGCCGCUUCCUUCCCUUGGUUUAGGAGACGGUCAAACAAAAGGCAGAGUACACUUGGAAGCAAACCAAGAUUCACGUUUUCACCUAUUUGGUCCGCACCAGGGUUUAUUUGAGCUUUCACACUACUCCAAACCAACCAGACUAUCAGAGACUAAAAGACCAAGGUUUGUUUAAAGUGUACCAACAGCUCUGUUGUGAAUGUGACUUUUGAUUGCACAGUCUCAGUACAUCAAGUGUGAGCUUUGGUUUUGCAUCAAAAUUGAUUAACUUGUAUGAAGUUCACUUCUAUUCACAACGAUGAGAAAAUUGUAGAGCAUAGGUCUGGACAGUGGAAUUAAAGGGCCUAGCUUAGUCACUCCUUUCUCCAUUGUCUGAACCAGUACUAGUUUCCUAGAAUCCAAUAAAAGUUUCCUGAAAUGUCUAACUGCUCUUCAUCAAAAGUGUUGUUUAUUGAACCGCAUGUAGUUAAGACUCUUGGUUUCUGGUAAUAAAUCCCUGUGGUUUUAGUGGCCCAUCCACCUUGACCAUUUCCCUGCUGCAUAUAAAAAUCUUCUAAUUCAAAGCCAAAUAUGUGAGCAGUUCUUUAAAUCAUAAAUGAUCAGUUAAAUGCCAUCUGUUCCUUAUAAAAAAAAAGACAUCAUUGCAUUUCUAGCCUGUUGAGAAAUGUGAUUCAAUGUCUCCUACUUAAAAUCAGCUUCAGUUUGUUUGACCCUUUCUUCUGACUUUCCUUGUUUUUGGUUUGCUUUUUCUCUCCUCUCUUCUCCUGCCUCUGUCUCUGUUUUUAUUGCAUAAUUUGCUCACAAAAUCCUCUGAUCUGUUCAGCUCCAAAGGCUCCUGAUGAUACAUGAAUUAUGGAAUUGGACAUUAUUCAAUAUUCUUUCAUGCUGCUCUUUACAUUGUGCUGCUAUGAAUUUAUUGGUAGGAAUGCAGAUGGGAAUAAAACAUGAUAGGAUCCUGAUUUGUAGUUGCAAAGUCUGAUGCAAUAUUUGCUUACAGCAAUUCGGUGCAGCUAGUGUUCAGUUCCACUUUAAACACGCUGCUCCCCUAUGGAGUUCUGUAGAAUAAUGCAUAUUCAAAUAUGCGCAUACUGUCACGCUCAAAAUGUCACAGUUACUCUUUGGAUCUCUAUGGAGUGAACACAUUAGCACUGUUUGUGUGUUGUGUUGUUUCUUGUUGCUGUGCAAACACAAUUUAGAGCCUAGCUGAGUCCCACUGAGUUAAACCACACAUGGUUGCAUAUUCAUGGACACAGUGGAUAUACAUUUGUGACUCUCCUGUUUUGUAUAAUCCUUGUGGAACAUGUCCAUGUGUGUUUGGCUCUUUCUGUCAGCAGAGGUGGUCAGUAUGAUAUAAAUAAAUAAAUCAAUAAAUAAAUAAAUGCUCAAAUCUUAGCUGUCUAGCGUGAUUAGAGACUCAUAUACACACCACCUGGGCUGAAUUUGGCCAGUGGACUCGCUCAACCCAAAUGAGUGACAUGCACGACCAGCUCUGGCUUCUUAAUGAAUUAGUCAUAACUGCCAUCAUCAAUCAAUCAAUCUAUCAAUCUCUCAGUCACUCCUGCAGGGCCGCUAUGAAGGCAUGCAUUAUGCAUGGUGUGUUAGUCUGAAAAGGGAGACAAACUGCUCAUUUCACAUGCACAAGUUUGUGUGGAGCUUUAGAGCACCUUAGGUAAGCUUAUGAUGUGCUAACGUUUGGUGAUGCUAACUGCCAGGCACCAGCUGCACGAGUGAGUUUAGCUCUGUGAUGGAGUGACUUGCAGCUAUCUUUCCCCCCUGACAGAAGAAGGCCAUCAUUUGAUUUUCAAAUGUUUCCUCUGUUUGUCUGUCAAGAGCAAAACCUGUCACCCUUGAUGUGGGGAGCUGAAAAACGUCAACCUCAAAGUAGUUUUGUUUAAUACAAAUAGUUUAUUUACAGUUUUAAUAUUUUUUUCCCCCCAACAAAUUUAAAAAGAAUUGUUAUUAACAGUUUUGUUAGAGGUGAUAGUUGACUGCACAAUAAUUUCUAUGUUGUUUUGCAUCCCUCACUUGUGCUGUUGGCUUAUGUCUUAGCCCUGCCCACCAGAGAUGCUCAAAUAGAUCCAAGGAAAUGAAGAGAGGAGUCAGUAAACUUGUUACAAGAAUCAUGAGACGUCCUUUUACCCAGUGUGACGUGAAGUUGUAAGUCAUUCCUUAAACAACGUUAACGUCAGAAGAAGUCACUGUCUGGCGCUUUUCUUAGGUUAGUUGAGAAGAUGAGUACAUGAUGAGUGCACACCAUGAUUGAGCUCCCGUAAUUUAUUUUUCCUUGAUUCCUGACUCAGUUAACAGUGAGUACCGUGAGGCCGCUUUGUCAUGUAUGAUAUCACUGACAUGAGGUGAAACAGAUACGCAAUGCUGACGGAAUGCACUCCAUACGGACCAUGUAUGUUUUCGGCUUAACUGUAUUCUAUCUCUGUGUGUUACAAGUAAAAAAAAAAAAACACAAAACAAACAAACUUGAUUAUUGAUUUAUGACAGUUAUGUUCAAUAUUUUGUGCUUAAAACUCAUGUUUGACAUUUUUAAUCUCAGCGCAUUACGUACCAACACUUAAAAUCAAAGGGACUGACUAUUUUAAGGCCCCUCUCUUCCACAUUAGUGAACUCUGGUCAUGUAAACUUUCAGUUACAUCCACUCCUGUUUCUAUGAAAUCAAGCCUUAUUCAAGUUAAUGCAUUCUAAUACAUGUUUCUGUUGUGCUCAGAUCGCAGGCGGGAAUGAGAGGCAAGGCUGGGGUAGAUUUGGGUAUUUUUUGUUUCUUUGAUUCUUUUGUGCUACAUGGUUUUGUGCUAUACAAAUAAAUACUGAUUGAUUGAUUGAUUGAUUGAUUGAUUGAUUGAUGUCCAGUGUGCUGCAGCAUCCAUUCAGUAAGUGAUAUUCGAUUCUUUGUCAGUGAAAAGAUUUCCGCAAAGACUGCUCUCUUGUCUCCUCUCUCACCACUUCUUGCCCAUUCCUCUCUCCUUUCUCCUGCUACCAGUUUGGCGGAGGACAGAGGAGACUGUGUUAUCAGCUUUUGGAUGGGGACAAUAUUCCCAUAAGGCAAAGACUUUGGUCCACAGAUAAGAUUUACUGUAAGUCCUCAGAGGUUUGAAAACACUGUGAAUGGAUACACACACAAAAAAACCUCACCGAGUACAAAUACUAUCGGAGCCCUUAAUAGAAUUUGUCUAAAUAAAUGUAUUAAAACAAACAAGUCAUAAGCUGAUUUUUCAUCCUUUUGUACUGUGAAAACAUGAUACAAUACACCAGCAAGAGAGCAGUUUCAAGCCAGCACAGUGUUGUUAUUUGUCAAAGACUGUUACAGCUGGCUUUUACCGAUGCCAGUGUAUUCACUUUUGGAUGUAGUACAUAUUUAAGAAGUGAAUAAACUUCAGCAGUUAUUACGCGCUUUGUUCUGACUGUCUCAACUCUUUGGAAUCACUAGGAGCUUGUUGCAAAGUCUGAGGUCAAACAGCGAGAUGAAAUAUGUAAUGUGUAUCCUCAGCAAAAAAUGCUUUGACUCGCUCACUUCACACCUCGGCCUUCCAUCCUGCUUUUGGUGGAUUCAUAAUUAAUGAUCUAUGAAUGAAUAAUGCAUUUUCAUUUCACCCUCUCCAGUAAAACAAGAAUUUCUGGCGUGUGACCAUGUCCACUCAAGUUAACACAACUGUGUUCCUCUCGACAAUGGAUACUGUUCUCUAUUUUCUUCUCUUUCUCCUUUCCUUCUUCUCCUCCCUCCCCUCUUGUCCUCUUUUCUUCUCCCCUCUUCUUCUGUCCUUGCACCCCCUCCUGCAUUGAUUUUUCUGUUGCUAGCAAUGCAUUUUCCAUACACCUGCUUACCUCCAUGCACCAGAAUCACCUUUUUUUCAGUCCCCUCACUGAUCAUCCUCUCGCUCGUACCAUCUCCAGCCCAAAAGAGAGACGAUCCAUUAAUCAGCAAAUAGUGCAUUACCUUUGUAAUUAACAUUCAACUGAGUUUCACCCAGUAAUAUUUCAUUAGUUUAUAUGCAAAUAAUUUUGAGCGAUUGCCUCAUUUGGUCUGUGAGUGCAAUGAUAUAUUGGUCUGUGGAUGGAGUGUGUGUGUGUGUGUAUAUAUGUGUGUAUGCUGAAGUGUGCAUUUGUGUGUGUGUGUAAGUGUGCCCGCACUCGUACUGUAGGUUAACGCAUUUUCAUGAACUCUCUCCAUCUCUCUGUCUUUCUAAUACACAUACACUUUCUCUCCGUCACAAACACACAUGCAAAUACACACACAUGAUAGAUUGCUUGGCCAUAUAUCCUUGUGCUGGAUUUUUUAAAGGCAUUAAGCUCUUUACUCACAUUGAACUAAUUUCAGAUUCACUGCACUCCAUCAAACCUGAGCUGACUGUAAAAAGCUCAGUCAAUUCCUCUCAGUUUACCUGAGAUACAUCUGCACAUACACGAGAGUUGCACCUUUAAAAGUGCUGCCAGUUCUGCAUGUUUUAUUUAACAUAAGGAUGAAAAGGCGGUUAAAGCUCCCUGUGAUCCAUGUUUAUUUCAGUUCAUUUGCAUUCCUUAUUUUGGUCACUUAAAGGCCAUGCAGCCUUGUAAGUGAGUCUAGCAGUUUGUAUUGACUUCAGGUCUGUGAGCAUUAUAAUAAUGAUCAUUAUUACUUUGUAAAGUCUGGUGGAAGAGUGAAGAAGAAAAGAACAGAGAAACGAUUUUAAUAUGAAACAAUCUUGACCAGCUUCUGAAUAAUAAUUGCCUUUGCUUGUGUUGCUAACAAUACCCUCAGUACAACUCUGCUGCAUUACAGUACACAUCUUUAUAUUAUAGUCCAGUAAUGGAUGAUGAGUAAAGAGUUUGACCUGGUAAUCAACCACACUUUCACAGCAGCAUAUCUCCUCUUUUACCAUGUUCCAAGCACUGGUUGGAAACCUAAAAUGUUGUUGUCAUACUUUAAUGCUUUCUUCAGGUAUGCAUUUACUGUUGAGGUACACACUACUGCAAUAGGACAAUGAUCAUCUGUAACACAGCGGGGUAUUUUGUUACCGUUGCUACUUGCAUUACAUAAGGCUUUUUGAACUGUCUCCAAACAUGAGGACAGAAAAACACAAAUCAAACAUCCUUUUUGCAUGUACACUCCUUGAAAGUCUACCUGGAUGUGUCUGUGACUUAAACUCAAGUUCAUAGAUGAGGAGAGAAGCAACGGCAGAGCAGCUCGACCAAAGGCAUAUUUUCAGGCUUGGGUUUAUGCAUAUUUCUUUAAGCUUUGUUUCAUGUAAGGACCAGGAUGGGUUAGUUCAGUGGAAACUGCAUCCAGGCCAGAAAUAACUUUCCACCUCCGUCGAGUAGACAACAAAUGCAUACCACUUGACAUUUCCAUAGAUGCCUUAGACGUUGUUCGCCUUUUACCUGAGUGAAAGUUGAGUCAGUGUCUGACAGUGUAACCUCUUGCCUGCCAUUAACAGAAAUCCAUUCAGCAUGCGUUCAUGCAUUGCUGAGCCAUGCAAUCAGGUACGCGCCAACAAGCAGGGGUACAUUCAGACUUUUGCUGUCGGGCGGCCCAAUGGUGGCACUGAUCUACAUGUGGGCCCACGUGUGAGUAAAUAACAAUCAUUAUUGUGGCAUCAAUGUCCUACCCAAACCUUUGGAUUGAAGAAAUUAAGCUGAUGUAGAACUGCCUAAAAUUGCUGUUCUCUGAGUGCACACUUGAGACUGGCUGCAGAAACCACAUACACACAUACAAGCUGAAAAGGACAUUUUAGAGCAGAGAUAAACAAUUUUUUGUAACAUAUUUGGUUCAAGGUUAUGAAGGAAAACAGAUUGGUAGAUCAGGGGCACACUGUCAGGAGACUCAGGGCCUGCCUUUUUUAGGUUCACCAAAUAUGGUGACAUGCACAGUAGCUCCAAGUCAUAGAAUCGCCAAGAAUCUGAGGUGGUCUUUCCAUUGUACCAUAAUAAAUGUAAACUUUAACACCAGUUAGAAACUGUCUGGAUGCUUAUGUUGUGAUCUUCUUGACAAACGUGUGUUAAAAUAAUCUAGCAGAAACAGGCUGUCUGUUUUCAAUCUGCUAAUUGGGUACUUGCAGUAACAGGUUCAACCCUAAUGAUGCAAAGCUUUGCACAACUCUUAGUCGUUGUACUUUCAAACAUAAAAAAGUGUCUCCCAAACAGAGCAUAUAUAGGAAUCAAGAAACAAGUGAUUUAAAUCAAAACUGUAAUUUGAAAUUGGUGGUAAACGUGUAUUUUUUUCUGCAAUACUGUGCAUUUCAAGGUGAGUGUUAAGAGGGAUCCUUUGGCCUCUGUAGCCAGCACUAAGUUGAACCUUAAGAAAAAUGUCUUUUUGCACUUGAGUUGCUUCAUUUUUCUUCACUGGUGGUUGCCAUUUCUUUUUGGCUUAGAGCAAUAGCUUGAGUAUAACAUGAGUGACAUAUCACCAAAGAAAAUCAAAGAUGUCAUUCUGAUAUUUAAGCCACCGAUACCAUAGACGUAAACUUUACUUGGCCUUUGGCGAUGGUUUACAUGAUGCAGUUCAUGUGGUGUGCUGCCCUAGAGCCUGGUUCAUCUCUGGGACUCCCGGUUCCAGAAGGACACCCUCCCGCACUUCACCCUUUCCAGUGUCUGAUUGUUUGACAGGCAACUUUAUAUUUUAACUUAUCAUCUUUUAUUUUACUGAUAUAAAAUGGAUGUAACAAGAAAGAGACAGUAGGAGUAAGAACGUGCACAUGUCAGUGUUACUGUGUACUCAUUUAUAAUGCAACUUGUCAAAGAGGUGAAGUGAUAUUGGAUGUGAUACAUGUCAAAAACUGGUCUUCACGACAACUCAAGUGCAGACAUAACCAGAAGGGACAGAUAACUCCUCUAUAUAUAUAUAUAUGUGUGCAUGAGAACACACACACCUGUGCUGCAUGUUCAUACAUUCAGCUUUGCCAUUUUCAAAGCAACCUAAUGCUUGUGUCUGCAGCAUCAAAUCUUUGCCUUAUCAGACAGAAUAACUAUGUAGAAGGCACUCAGUGAAGGUUGGUAAUUAUGUGAGAUUACGGGAGGUGAGGACAGGAAAUAGAUCACCUUUCGCAGAAUGUUACAGAAUUCUCCAAAAUUACAUUCAAUUUAAUGUCUAGUCAGACUUAAAUUGCCUUCCUUGGUAAAUCUGUUGGCUGGUGGGUUCCAGGAAGGAAGUAUUUAUUUUCCCUUCUUCUUCAGUUUGAGAUUGUAUAAAUAAUAAAUUGAAUAAAUGACUUCAUAUUUCCAUUUUAUUUAAGGUGCGGCACUUUUUAACAAAGUUAAAACUAAAUUACAAAUACCAAGGUAAAACGUUUAAUUAAUUUGAAAGUAAACAGCAUUAAAAUGAGAAAAUGUAAUGAAGCAUGUUGAAGACAGUUUUUAAGAUACAGAUUGCAUUUUUCAAAAACCUUUUUUCCUUGAAGGUGGGAUUUUUUUUAUUUUUAUGAUUUUUAUAAGUAGGUUUAUGAGGUACUUGUUAGUAGUAAGUGUAUCACCCACACAAGAUGCUGAUCAGCUCAGUCCCAAUGUUGAGAAACUGGUUAGAGAGCGCAAGAAUAUCAUCUGCUGCAGACAUGUAGUUUAACUAGUUAUUUUGAAACUCUGACCCAAAUGUUGGUGUAAAUAUGAGCUUCAUUUAGCGAUUUUUUAGUGCUUUACUUUGCUUUAAAAAGGCUCUCCACUCUGUCACUAUUCACAGAUGCGACACAAAUGUGCUCCUUCGCAUGAAGCCCACAGAUCUGCUUAUGUGGCAGGCAGCACCUUGCUGCUGUUGAAUGCAGCCCUCCCUCCUCCUCUAACCCCUCCCUUCCCCUAAUCAGGUCAGCUGCAUAAAAGGCAGCAGCUCACCUGCAGUCGGCCUUCUGAUCUGCUCAGAGUGUUGGUGAGUAGGGUGGCUGGUAACUUUUAAUCCUUAAGCCGCGUUCAGACCAGCCGCGACCUGACGCGACUUGGCGACCGCCGGCUUCCUGCGACGCGACCAUGCGCGACCGGGCGACCGGGCGCGACCGGUCGCCAAGGCGCGUCCCCGAGGUCGCGUCGCCGAGGUCGCAGGACGCCAAGUCGCGUCGCUCCCAAAGUUCAAAUAUUUGAACUUUGGGAGCGACUCCGUGCCGCGACAGCCAAUCAGGGCUCUGCUGACGUCAACAAACCGGCGAAACAAGGAAGAGGAGAAGAAGAAUCACAAUGGAGGAGCAGUUAAUCACAUCCGUUAGCUACCACCCGGUGCUAUACGACGUGGGUUGCGGGCUGUACCGGGACCGCAACGCCAAAGAAGAAGCAUCUCAGUUUCGGAGCGCCUGUAUUUCGUGUCCAGGCGGGAGAUGCUGCUUCCCAUCCGGGCGAGGAGGUCCUCGAACUGCGCCGUCGACACACGGAAGUACCGCUGGAAGCGGCCGUCGUCCAGGCGGAGUUCCUGGAGCAAGCGGUGAAAUUCACCCAGCUCCGUCCUCCUCCGGAUGGUUUCAUGCACCCAUAAACGCCGGCGGCGUAUACUGCGGAUGUACAGAUAUGCGGCAGCACUGAUGAACUGAAAACUGAGCUAGUGACAUGGAUGACGUCACCUGCGACCAGCCGCGACCUGCGACUGCAGCUUUGGACCCGGUGUUGACACACCAGGGCACCACGCGACGCGACCUGACCGACCAACGCGACGCGACGCGACCUGGUCGCGUUUGGUCUGAACGCGGCUUUAGAGUUUUAUGAUUGCUUUUAACAGCAUGUCUUUUUUUGUUUGUAGGUGGUAGACCUGCUGCUGUUUUGUUGCCCCCCAUUAAUUAUAGUUAUUUUAGCCUGUUUACUUUGGUUGUUUCUGCCCUUUUGAUUGAUUUUCCCCCUUACUUGGUUUGUUUCUACUUCUAAGUUUGGUUGUUUUACACAGUUACUCCCCCAUUAGUUUGCAUUCUGUUCUUAGUUACCCUUAGUUGCUUUUCUCCUUAGUGCCUCUAGUUUACCAACUGGGUUCGCUGUUGUUGGUUUGUUUGAUUCUUUGGUUAAUCCUUUUAAUUUAUUUCAGAAGUUGAGCCCACUAGUUUGGGAGGCUAGGCACCCCAGGUGAGGGCCCUCCACCUUUGCAUGAGUUUGACACGGGGUCACAAGACUACACCGAUUUGUUUCUUUUGUUGAAGGUUUGCAGUGUGUGUGCUGUGCUUCACUUGGUGAGUAUAAGGGAGCACCCCCCUGCCUCAGCUUAUCUUAAGUUAACUUAGUUUGGGUUUCUUUGAUUUAGUUUAAGUUGGGGUUAUUGUACUUUCUAACUUUUGUAGAAGGCCUUGUUUUAAAUUUUAUUAUAGAAAUAAAAUUAACUUUCUUGCCCCUUAUCUGUGUUUUGUUAUGUUGUUUUAACUUUAUCCCUUUCUUUCCCUCCUAGGUUAAAUUUCUCAGUUAUAUUUAUGUUUAACUUCAUUUUUUUUGAUCUAAUAAACAUUUUGAAAUAUUUUGAACUCUGUCUCUGCCUCUUCAGAACUUACCUGUGUUGCCUUAUUCUUAUUUUAGCUUCCUGUUUUAGUUUGAAAGUACAGUUUCCUGGGGUGCAAGUCCCCAGGUGGCGUUGCUGGUUGGAGACAAUAUUCUCUAUUUUUGAAUAAAAUAGCACCCCCUUGCCACACUUAUAAAGGUUUAUGAUGUACAGUAAGCUUCACCUCUUCCCGGUACAUUUUUAUUUUGUGAUGUUUUGCACAGCAGUUUGACAUAAUUAAAAUAAGCAAAUGCCAAACAUUUUCUGACCACAGCCAUAUGUGAGCUGCUUGCAUCCUCUGAUCCAGAAAGCUCCAAAUGCACUGUUGUCACCAGAUCUCACUCAUGAUAGCAGUCAGAUCUCUUGAUUCUUGGGCUUGCAGUUCACCUGUUGGGAUCAGAGGUUUGAGGCUUGCUCUCUCACUCCAGGGAGGAAGCUUUGUUAUAUCCAGUUUCAUGUUUUUUUUACAUCUGUCAGGACUUAACUUCAUGAUUAACUGCCAACACAAUUCCCCCUCUCAAUCCAGUUGAUCUGUAGAAAGCUUCACCUUCUCUUUGAUUUGAAUUGGCACCGUUGAUUGAUUGAUUGAUUGAUGUGGAUGAAAUUGAGCCUCAGGAGGAGAGUGCAGCUCUGUGCAGCAGAAAGUAUAGGGGUCAAACACUAAACAAGAGCUGAUUGUAGUGAGCUGCAAUAGAUGUAUUAGUGUCUUUGCCUUCGCUGUGUUUUGUUUGUUUACUGGUUUUUAUGUUCAUUUAACCUCUACUUAGCCAGGUUAGUCCCAUUGACAGCAUAGAUUGAUUUUCCAAGAGAGAUCUUGCCAAGUAACAGCAACGCAAAGUGUCAGCAACAAAACAUUCACACUAAUGCAACUGGACUGACAAGUAAAUGAAAACAAUAAAAGAAGUCAGCUAGAAGAACUGCUUACAGAGAGACUAACUUUUAACUAGGGAUUUAAAUAGUCAGGUUAACUCAGUUUUGCACUGUAAAAAUCAUAAGUUAAGUUUUGGCACACAGUAAAAUAUAAAGCUAUGGAUGUUGGCACAUUACUAUUACUACAACUUCUACUUCUACUACUGCUGCUGCUCCUUCCCAUCCUCUGUCUCCCUCUUCUCCCUCCUUUUACCCAGAGAGGGGUCAUACAGUCUGAUGGCAUGAGGGUCAAAGGAGUUUUCAGUCCGUGUGGCUAAUAUAGCUGAAGGCUAACAGCUCCAGGUCGGGACAACAUACACUCACCGGCCACUUUAUUAGGUACACCAUGCUAGUAACGGGUUGGACCCCCUUUUGCCUUCAGAACGGCCUCAAUUCUUCGUGGCAUAGAUUCAACAAGGUGCUGGAAGCAUUCCUCAGAGAGCUUGGUCCAUAUUGACAUGAUGGCAUCACACAGUUGCCGCAGAUUUGUCGGCUGCACAUCCAUGAUGCAAAUCUCCCGUUCCACCACAUCCCAAAGAUGCUCUAUUGGAUUGAUAUCUGGUGACUGUGGAGGCCAUUUGAGUACAGUGAACUCAUUGUCAUGUUCAAGAAACCAGUCUGAGAUGAUUCCAGCUUUAUGACAUGGCGCAUUAUCCUGCUGAAAGUAGCCAUCAGAAGUUGGGUACAUUGUGGUCAUAAAGGGAUGGACAUGGUCAGCAACAAUACUCAGGUAGGCUGUGGCGUUGCAACGAUGCUCAAUUAGUACCAAGGGGCCCAAAGAGUGCCAAGAAAAUAUUCCCCACACCAUGACACCACCACCACCAGCCUGAACCGUUGAUACAAGGCAGGAUGGAUCCAUGCUUUCAUGUUGUUGACGCCAAAUUCUGACCCUACCAUCCGAAUGUCGCAGCAGAAAUCGAGACUCAUCAGACCAGGCAACGUUUUUCCAAUCUUCUAUUGUCCAAUUUCGAUGAGCUUGUGCAAAUUGUAGCCUCAGUUUCCUGUUCUUAGCUGAAAGGAGUGGCACCCGGCGUGGUCUUCUGCUGCUGUAGCCCAUCUGCCUCAAAGUUCGACGUACUGUGCGUUCAGAGAUGCUCUUCUGCCUACCUUGGUUGUAACGGGUGGUUAUUUGAGUCACUGUUGCCUUUCUAUCAGCUCGAACCAGUCUGGCCAUUCUCCUCUGACCUCUGGCAUCAACAAGGCAUUUCCGCCCACAGAACUGCCGCUCACUGGAUAUUUUUUCUUUUUCGGACCAUUCUCUGUAAACCCUAGAGAUGGUUGUGCGUGAAAAUCCCAGUAGAUCAGCAGUUUCUGAAAUACUCAGACCAGCCCUUCUGGCACCAACAACCAUGCCACGUUCAAAGUCACUCAAAUCACCUUUCUUCCCUAUACUGAUGCUCGGUUUGAACUGCAGGAGAUUGUCUUGACCAUGUCUACAUGCCUAAAUGCACUAAGUUGCCGCCAUGUGAUUGGCUGAUUAGAAAUUAAGUGUUAACGAGCAGUUGGACAGGUGUACCUAAUAAUGUGGCCGGUGAGUGUAUAAGUGCCUUUAAGGAGAUAUGUCCUAGGCUACACCAUUGGUUGUUAACAUAAAUGAUGAGUCUGCCACAUUUGCUUUUCCCACAUGCUGUAGUGUCUCUGUCAGCUCUCACAGCAGUGAAUCCCUGCAGAUCCACGUUAGCAUCCGGUAUGAUGUUACUAGCCUUUGGCUUGGCCUGAGCUUUGCAGCCUCUGGAUAUCCUCCUCAGCUCUGCCGGUAUGAAGGGUCAUUCCCCAGCUUGUCCCAUUGUUUUUAGAGCUAAAAUGUCCAAUAGAGCUUAAAUAAUAAUAAUGCAUCAGAUUUUUAUGGCGCUUUUUGUCAGUGACCUCAAAGCGCUUUACAUUGGAUACAUCAUUCAUUCACUCACACAGUCACACUCUGGUGGUGGUAAAUUACCUUAGUAGUCACAGCUGCACUGGGGCAGACCGACGGUAACGUGGCUGCCAGUUUGCGCCUACAGCCUCUCCACCACACAACACUCCCAAUCAUUCACUAGUGGAGGACACACAUUGGGAGCAAGGUGGAUUAAGUGUCUUGCCCAAGGACACAACGGACAGACUGGGGAUAGGGCAGGGUUGGAACCGCCAACCCUCAGGUUGUUUGCCGAAUGCUCUACCUCCUGAGCUACUGCUGCCUGAAGUAGCUCAGGGGGUAGCUACUCCUGAGCUACUUUAGGUGGUAGCUACUCAGGAAGUCGCUAAAUAUCCAAUAGAGUUACUGGAAAGGCAGCUGCCUUGUACAGCACCAUAGCAUUAUGGGGGAGCACAUUGAAGUUAACCUUAAUAUGAGACACCACUGGUCUAAAAACCAGUGUCAUUCAAACACUUCACUGGAAAACCAAGUUAUAUUAUGACCACUGAUCAAAUUAGUUCUUGUUUCCUGUCUUUUCACUUCAGUCUGUAUUUGUACACCCCAUCACCCUUACCAGUGACUCUCCCUCUCCAAGUUGUUUCAAAGUCAUUUAAAAAAGUAAUCAACUCAAACUCCAAACUCAAGAAAAACUUCCAGUCAUGCAGCUCAAUUUAAGAAACUGAUCAUCUUUUAUAACUUAGAUUACAUUGGAAACUUUUCUGACACAUCUCUAUCUGUUCACGCCAAACAGCUCUGACACCCUGAGUUAAAUCACUCUGAGGGAGCCAUUAUGAAGUGAUUACACAUACUUGUGCAGCACCUCCACAUAUUCAACAAAAAGAAGUUAACAUUGGUUUGAACAUUUCUAUAAGUGGUGAAGAUAACAGACUGUAUGUGUGCAUGGAGAUGAUUUACAAUAUAAAUGAGAACAUUAUUUCAUGGCUGUGGGUUUUUUAAUCACAUCAUUAGAGGGGUUCAGUAUGAAAUACAAAAUCUAGUCUUGUUUCAUAUACAUUUCCAAGUUAAGCUUAAGGUAUCCGGACUCACAAUUUACAAAGCUUUCAAGGGGGUAAGAACAUAAAAAAACUGUACAUCUGAAAAGUCUAAGAUGUCAAUGAUGAACCAGCUAAACUGCAGCAUAUCCCCAAGCUUCCAGAUUGCCCCACUUCAGACCAACAAAUGAAGAUCCUUGCUCAGGAAAGAACAUCCUCUCUCAAACACAGGAAAUGAGUUGACAGCCCCAGAUCCAUGAAAUAAACAGGACACACUCUCACUCACUUACAAAGACAAUUUACUCUAAAGUCAAAGUAUUAGAAAAUACAGUAGCAGACAAUAAUGAGUUGAAGAGCUUACAGUAGAAGAAGCUAUUUGGAUUACAUUGCAUUAGGGAUGUAUUGUAUUAUGGGUCUGACUAUCAAAAUUAAAUUAAAUAAAACAUCCUUUCAUUAGAUUUUUAUGUAGUUGACAACAGUAGUCCCAAGCAAUACAAAUAAACACUGCGAGAUAACUAAAAAUGAAAUAAAUUCUCAAGAUUGAGAUAUAAAAUUUAGCUUUUUUGAACAAACGGAGACUUAGGUAAAUAAAUCAGAUGUCAUUUGAUGAAAAAGUUUGAAUAAUUUGACUAAAACCACUUUAAAUCUAAAAUCUGUUUGUUAGAUUUCCAAUCCAGUUUAAGUGCAGCCAGAUCAGCAAGUUGUCGUCCCACAGAUCCCCUCCCAGAAACUUCUCUGUGUAUGCAUGCGUUCCAGUAACACAAUUUGUCAGCAUCUGUUAGUGUGACAUAUGUGUGUGUUUGUGUGUUCAUGCGUGUGUGUGUUUGUGUGUGACUGCUUCUGCUGCAGCUGACACUUGGGCAAUAUCAUUACAUGACAACUGCCAAUGUGUCCACCGGGGCUGAUUCAUUGGCCCUGAGUCUGGGGGCUCGCCCAGGAAAGAAGGCCCUCCAUCAAGCUGGAAGUGAGCAGACGCUGGCCUCAAGCUGACAGCUUUCCGAUAUGCAAACUUUCUCUGUUUAUUUAUUUGCUUCUUAAUGACCCCAGGUUCAAGCCAAGGGGGCUUUUCUUUUUUUCCUUCUGUGAAAAAAAACAACAACGCAGUCAUUUUUCCUGUUGAUCAUUUGUCACCGGCACAUCAAAGUCAAGGGCUGGAGUAACUUUGAAUAGAAAGUUUGCUCCACACUUGAGAUGGAUGCCUUUGAAAGUUUACCCUUUAAUACCUAUAAGUGCUUGUGUCGUUCCUGCCCUCUUUGACACACAUUCUGUUACCUCUGCCCACACACCUUCUCCUCUUAUUCCCCUUUACUCUCAGCUCCCCCUCCCUCCCUGCUUUAAUCAGAGUAAUGCCAACCCAUCUCAGCGCUAAGGGCUAGGUUAGACAACAAGUCGAGUAAUGAGAUUACAUGCAGACUACAGCACUGCAUGCGGUUAAGUUAGCGGAGGUGGUAAGGGGGCAGCCUCCGCUCUUCUGCCUUUGUAAGCUUUUGGAAGGGCACUCAAAUGAGUUGGCUGAGCACAAAACAUCGCUCCAGCUCUUUCAAUUCACGCCUCUCUUUGCGAGUUACCUUUGGCACUUUCCUGAAACGCCUCAAAAGGAGAGAGCUGGCUGUUACUUUGAUGUGUUGUUAUAACUUCCCCCAGCCCAGUCUUCGAGUGACUCUUGAAGUUGCACUGUCUCAGACUCUCUAUGCAUCAGACUCUUUGGCUCUUUUCUGCAUGUUAAUGAACUCUGCAAUAAUCCGCGUUGGGUUUCUUUGGCAGGGGUUGGCUCAGGACAGACAGCUCAGUGCUUCUCUUAUUUUUUGAGACUGUUUCAGUAUGGGCAAGCAUAUGUGUGUCUGCAGUGAGAGACUGGGUGCAGUGGCGGAGUUAGGCUGUCUGAAAGGGAGGGCCAAAAUAAAGAAGAAAAGAAGAGGGAGCCAGAUAUAGCUGGUUGGACACUGAUCUGGAAAGAGUUUUAAAAAUUCAUGGCAAAACAGUCCAAAUCCUUUUAAAAGAUGACUGUGUUUUCAAGGCUUUUAUUUUUACAGCACACUCAUAUGAAUACAACAUUUUUAUGUGCCUACAUUUCACCCAACAUUGACAAAUAAAAUAUUCUUCUUAUAGUUUUUUUAUUGGCAUUGAAGAGACAUUUCUUGGUGUGUUAAUAAUAGCAACUAUCACAAAUCGUGCCCAAUGCGUGGUCUGUUUCUGCAGAUGGACACAUUUCUAACUACUACCAUACCAAAGUGAGGCCAAAAUACCCCCUGGUUGCAGAUGCUGACAAUUUGCAUCAGUGACAUGUUUGGAGCCAGAGUCUGCUUAGUGAGCUGUGGUAUUGACAUCCUGCCCACUUGGCUUAUUAAAGCACACAUUUAAGUCACUGAUAAAAGCAGCAGAGAUCCCUCAGGUCGCUACAGUCUACAGCAGGAAAGAUUCUUUGCUUGAUUUGGAGCGGACACCCAUCGUGAUGGAAAGUUUAAUGACUCUCGUGUGAGGGUUUGUGCAUUUUUAUUCUUGUAGCUACACCGCUGCUCUGCUAAUCUGUUGCGCACAGCGCCACAGGAGCAGCAUGUGUGAAGAGAGCUGUCAAUCAUGUCAUACUCUGUUUUCAGUAUCAGUUUACCAAUUAAAGCUAAAGAUGAAAAUCUGGGCAAAUAUCAUGGUGAUAAGAACUAACUCCAAUAUUCCAUCAGAUCUAUGUUUACGGUAGUGGAGCAGAAAGGUUUUCCCUUUAGUCACAGUGUUUCCUUUUACUGUCCAAUCCAGAGCUCUUCUCAGCUGAUAUGCACAGCUUAAUUUUUUUGUCACGAUGCGCAUGAUGCAUCAAUCAGCGCAGGUAAGAUUGUGGAAGAUGGAAAGUCAGACCCCAAAACAACAUAAAACCAUCCAAUUAAUUUAAAAUAAAUCACCUAAUGUUGACACAUCAUGAUUCACUAACUAGACCAUCAAACCUCCACAGUAAGCAGAGCCAGGCCUGUUUUCAACAGGUCAGAGGUUUUCAGAGGUCAUUUUAAGUCUGUAUUUGAAACUGAACAUCCUUGGGCUUAUGAGUCCAGCAAAACAAGAUCGCAAACAGACUGAACAUGGACUUCGGUGUUAAACCACAGAGACUGUGUAGGAGAAGGUUUUCCACGAUCGAUAUUUUAAUUAAAGCUUGUCCAAUCUGUUCACAUGGAGGAGGUGCGACUUACAUCCACAUACUGUAUGAAAUGUGAUUUGGUAUUAAUGAGUUAUUUGAUGCUAAAAUGAUAAGAAAAAAAAAAAAAAAACCUUAACUAACAGACUUUUGUUCCACCCCUAUUUCACUUUUUCUCAACUGGACUGAUUGUAUUAUUUCAUUUCCUAGCAUUGCAUGAAUUACUGUAACAACAAUAUUGUUAUGAUAUCCUAUGGCCACAAUAAUGAUGAUGGGAGAAUCUGAAAUUGUGACAGCCCUAGUGUGACGUUAGUCUUGCAGCUUCACCAACCAGAUGGCUUUUGCACAUACUGUAGUUUGGCUCCACCAACACAAUAUAUCAGCGUCCAUCAAAGUGGUGUUUUGGCUUCACAUCUCAUAAUGGGAAGAGGCGGAGAUCUAUUGUUUGACCUAUCAUAAGAUAGUAUUUUCAUUAUUUUUCCUGCCUGAUGUUGUCUUUCAUUUGCCACCAUUUGAUUUUUGCAAUACUUAUCUGUCAUGUGAGAAGAGAGUAAGGUUCGAGCAUACACACCAGAUGAGAGCACAGGGAGGAGGAGACAGCAGGAGACAGUCAUGAUAAGAAACAUCCACUCUUUCAAUUACAAGAACAGCAGGCUCACAUGUUGACUGACCUAUGUCCCUCCAAUUUAGGCAAGCUGUAGCCUGAUGUAGAGCUGUGUUUCUGUCUUCAGUCUUUGCUUUGUUUUGGUUGAAAAUUUUGGGUUGCCAUGUCUAAAAGCUAUGUUUUGUUUUGGACUUGCCAGUCAGAGUCUACAUCCACUACAGCUUUCUGUUUUUACAGACUGGGGAUCAAAAAGCACUCUACUCAUUCAUAGACUAAAUAUUAAGAUACGAUUGGUUAUAGGAUGUGACUGAGAGUUAAAGUAUAGCUUAAACACAUCUGUAUAGUAAAACCACUCUGGGAGCUAUUACCUAUUAAACCAUCUGGGAACAUGUACCGGCAAACUCAUUUUACAACAUGUAGGGCAGACUGCGAGGCGCUGCAUUGCAUUUUCUCCAUUUUUAAGGGCACACUAGAGGGCUUUGUAAUGUUCCUAAGUAAGUCAGAGUAUCUCAUGUAGAUAAGAGAGAGAGAAAAAGAAAAAAUCUUAUCCUUUCUCCGGUCCAGAACUAGACUCAUUACACGGCUCUGUUUGCUCUGCCAAAGAUCGCUGUCUGCAUGUCUUAUUGAAGAAGAAGGUUGAUACCAUCAAACCACUUGAAUAAUCAUACCGCAGCUGUUAACCAGGAUCUGCCUUUUCAUCAUUCAUCUGCACCUGAACUGUGUUUGAUUUGACUGUGCUCUUCUCCUCUGGUAAAGAUGAGUGUGUACUUGGUCGUAUAUGUGUGUGUGUGUGUGUGUUGACAUGCUCACAGGAUUCGUGCAGGGAGCUUAAGAGAAAACUAUUUCACGUGUUUUAUAAGUAUGGUAAACAAAAUACAAAUGCUGUUGGUGUGUGUGUGUGUGUGUGUGCGGGCAUUGAUGUGAUUAAAUGUAUUGCACCAUGCAGGGAAUCUUGAUCUUGUGAGGGUCAGACUAUAGAAGGAUUAGACAGGGUAUGGAAAUACAGGUGCAGAUCUCUCUUUGCAUGCAAGGAAGAGGAAUCAGAUUUCUGUGUGUAGGUGUGAGGGAGUAUGUGUGUGGGUGUGGGGUUUGUGGGUGUGUGUGUGUGUGUGUACAUUGGCUGUUCCCAGAGGAAAGAACUUCAAAGGCACUCAGAUUAUCUUCUAUUAAUGCAAAUCAGUGCACUGGAAAGGAAGUGAAAUAUAUGAAUGCAGGAACACAGACUGUUGUGGAGUGGAUAGUUUGGUCUUUUGGCAAACGGGGUUCCAUUUAAAACAUCUCCUUCUGUUUCAUUUUUGGCCCCCUCCCUCCUGACGACUCUCCUGUGGUGAGAACUCUUAGAUGCACCUUUCCUACUCUUCAUUACGCUCUAAUACCUCUGCUGACAACAUCAUGGAUUGGCCUCGUCCUGCCUGGAGCUUGAGUAAUCUGCAUCUGUGUGUCGCAGAUGACCACGACCGAUCCCUGUAGGUGAUCCAUCACCAUGGAAACCGGGCGACAGGGACCAACUAGAAAUGCAACAAUUGAUCGAUGUGCAAACUGUAAUUAAAAGCGCUGCUCUAAUAAGUACCGUGGGAGCAAUAGCUAUCACACAUGCAGGGCCAGAGCAGAGGAGAGGAAGAAGAUGGAGAGAAGGUGAAGGAGGAGGGGAAGAAGGGAGUGAGGGAUAAGAGGGAUGGAGAUGGAUAUGGGAGGUAUUAAAGAUGAGUAGAGUUAGGAGGGAGGGGAGCGAGGGAUGCUGGAGGGCUAGAAUGAGAAGGCCUGGGUGAGAAGAUCAAAGCUCAAGUGUUACGAUGGACAGAUUGAAAAGCAUGGGGUCGGGGGAGGCAGAGGAAGGUGCUGUUGGCAGAAUAUCUAACAAGCAGCAGCAAAAAAAAAAAAAAAAAGCAGAAGAGGAGAAGGAAGGAGGCCAGGGAGGAGGCUGAGAUGAAUUGGCUGCAAAGAGAAAAAUCAUCUUUGAAUUAUGAAACAUUUUACAGGCUUGCUUCUGUUUUGGAGCCUGAUGUGGUGCACCCGACCUCUGCAUAUUUAACUCUGUUUAUGACCAGGGGAUUGACUCCAAAGAUGAGGCGCUGGGGUCGCGUACAAACAAAAAAAAAAAAAAAAAAGAAAAAGUUCAAAUGCAGCCCUUUGUCUCCUAAUCUCCUUCCAUAUCUUAUGAGGCUGCACCCACAAACACGUCCUAAUUAAAAUCCAUCUUAAGUCCCAGCAACAAUAAAUCACAUAUGCAUACUUCCCAUCAUGUGUGGGUUUUGAGUGAACACAAACACAUACGCUGAAACACACCAAAGUCAUAAACCCAGGGUGGGAUAUUCUUCUAAAUCCCUUCGUAAACAAUUAGGCAAGUUAUAGAGUGUUUAAUGAGAUAAAAGAAGAUAAAACCUUGUCUUUUGUUUGUCUGUCCGCUGGGACCAUGAGCUCCGAGUUAGUUUGUGUUAUCAGGAUGUCUCCCCUGAGAAGACUGCACGGCUGGAAAGCUCCAGGCAUUAACACACACUUGCUUCCAUCCCAGGGUGUGUGUGUGUGUGUAUGUGUGAGUAGGGGGGGUCUGGCGUGUGGGCGUGUAUUUCAACUUCAGCACGAUGCUCCAGGUAUAAACGAAGUAUCAAGUUUAUUCAAUUUGUCCUUUUUAUUUAGCUUGGCUCUUCCCUGUGUUUGCGUUAGUGUGUGUGAGUGUGUGUGUGUGUUUUCCCUCUCGCUCUCCAGGCCUCCUUCUCCCCAAGCCCUGAAUACAUGUACGGCAUCUUCUCUGAACCCCACACGCCUUCAAACAACAGCACAGCAGAGACACGUUUAAGUUGCCCAGGAGGCGGCAAAUUAAACAAAGCUGUGAAGGAGAAAUUCCUCCCUCUCCCUUUUCAUUUGAAUUUGUGAUUGCUUGCUGUGUAGCUGCUGUCUGCCCGUACACAUUGGGAAGCAUGAAAUGAGAGGUGUUUAUUGAGACUCAUGUGGUGUUAAGCGGACAGGAUACAGUGAAAUCUCAUUUUCAUUCACACCAGCCGGAGCUCAUUCAAAACAAUGCACCAGGAGCUCCUGCUACAACGGACCAGGAAUCACAUAAAAACAGUUUACAAAAUUACUCCUGCUAUAACAGCCACCGCUUCCUCUCCCUCUGCCCAUCUGCCUGCUUUUCUAUCAAGUUCAUCUCCAUCUUUCUCCUCUCUUAUCAACCCUUCCCACAAAGUCCGCGCUGAUAGUCCUCACAUCAUACACUCAUCAAGAGAAAAAGGCCUUUUCUGUCCUUUCACAAGUCUAAAAAGAUCCCAUCCACGCCCGAAACGUCUACAAAUAUUUUGCCCCAUAAAUGAUUCAUACAUCUUUGCAUCUGAUGGCUGAAUUCAUGUCCUUGUUUACUUGUUCUUCCCCCCACUUUAAAAUGUGAUAGGACUUUUUUUUUAUACACAAGACUGCAAUUACCAGGGCGCAGAAUAGCCAGGGAGGAAAAAGCAGAAAUGUCACCACACUCGACUGAGCUAAACUGGCUAAACGAUGACAAGCACUCUGCCUGUCAGAUAAACAGACUAACAGGCAUCCGGGUUUGAACGUACACUUCAGGAUUCCUCAUUAAGAGAGGCUAAUGCGGACAUUCGGCACGGCAAAUUGGCAAGACAUCAAACCUUGUGUGUUAUGGGAUGAGGGUAGGGGCUUCAGUCCAUGAGAUCAUAAACCCUCAUGAUCAUAUAAUUUGACAGGCGCCUCUUCCUGUGACAUCAAGGGGUAAUAUGUGCGAGGGUCACAUAUAUUUCUCUCUAAUAAAAGGAGAUGAAAGAUCAUGCUUUCUUUUGAUUUUUAUUGACACUUCUCAAUGCAGUGUCACUUGAAAACUGCACCCUCUGCUACUUUGAAGGUUAAAGGUCAUGCUGCGGAUAAUAGUGCCAUCUCUGAGUUUUUAUUUUCUGCACAGUAGCAGUUUUCGGUGCCAGUGUCACAUUGUUUUUCCUCAACCUGUCCCAGAGCUGCAUGUGUCUUUUUUCCUCCCUCCUUUUCCUCUCUCCACUCCCCCUUUACUAAUUUGUGUCGCGGCUAAUGACACAUUCAUCUUCGGUCACCUUCAAUGCAGAGCUGUUCUUGACAAAUGUUCUCGCUUUCUAGAGGCCGCCAGUGUCAAAACAUCAGAGAGGGAGAGUGGCAGAAUAAAUACCAACAACGGAUGCUUCCUUCAGGAUAAUCACCACUGCUGCUGGCCUGCUCCUGGCACUCGGCACCCUGCUUGAUUUGCACAGCUUGUGUGUGUGAGUGUGUGAGUGUGUGAGUGUGGUUGUCUUUUUCGGGUGCAUGCAAGCUUGCAACUCUGUGUGAUUAAUCUAUACUGAGUGAAAGGUAGGGUGCAAUCAGCGCUCCAUUUGUGAAUACCAAAGGGCUCCGUGACCAUGAAGGGGAAACGGGAAAUAGGAGAUGGCGUGUCCAGUGUUUUGGCAGGGUAAUGGAGCCUAAGAAGUCAUUUAGGACCAGCUCUGCCCUGUCACAUGCCUGUCACACCGCUGGCUCGGCGGUGUCACAUCCAAUGUGCGUCUGGUUGAGCGCCGCGCGGCACACUGGCAUCUCUCAUAGUCCUGCGUCAGUCAAAGACAACACACAUGACAAUCAAAAAUACACACAAACCCACUAGCGCACAUGUGUACGUUACAUUAUGGAGAAAAAAAAAAGAAAAACAGGGAACGGCGCUGCAGUGACCCCGUCAAGCCAUCAAAUGUGUCCCUGCCAGAUAAACAUCCUCUAGACACUGUGACAUUUUCCCCAACACAAGCCGAGUGUGAAGUCUGCAAACGUGCAUGGCUGUGAGUGCAUGUGUUGAUGUGUGCAUGUCUGUCUGAGUGUUUUAUUUAUGCAUGCAGAAAUACCAGGCCUUUCAUAUAAAGAGCGGAAUGGAUGUAUGACCCUGUUGUAAUGGGUAAUAAAUCACCCCUCAUGAAGGAUGAGCGCUGCUUUUAUUUAUUUAUUUUUUGGGUAACUCGACACCCUAAAAUGUUACCAUUAGCAUUUUUGUUGUGUCAAGUCUAUAAAUGACAGUAAGAUUUAUGCAAAGACAGUGAGAUGAUGCCAGUUGUUUGUGGCAUGGUCAUGAGAGUCAUGUCAAAGCUGCCGGGUUUUGAUCAAUGGAAAAAGAGCAGCAAGUUGACUUCAUCUGGUUUGACGUCUGCUUUUAGCUCCCCGUCAAGCUGAAUUGAAAUAUUUGGUAUUUGUCUUUCUAUAUGCUGUGUGAAGAGAGAUACUUGUCCCGCUGACACACUUUGUACCAAGUGUUUAACAAUUUAAAUCCUCUGACAGCAAACAGUUUUGCUAUGUCUUUGAAAUUAGAAGUUAUCCCUGUCAGUGCCUGCAGUAUAUUUUUAUUGGACUGACUUAACAGCCUUCUUCAUUUCAGCAGACAUAAACUAAACACUCUUGGUGUAAGUACAGAUUGUAAGACAAUUUACAAUAUUUCCUGUUUUAUGUUUUCACCCAGGCACCAAUGCAAUCAAUCCAGACCAGGCAAACUGAAGCCCAGCAGUGUGCCUCUCAGUCAGACCACCUCCAAAGGUUUCACUUUCACUCUCCAAAGUCCUUCUUCUUCCCUGGUAUUCCAUUUGUCGUCCUCCUCCCUCUCCACACCCUGAGCGAGGUUGAAUUAAUGUUUGACUGUGGGAGACUUGUAGAUGGCAAAUGUUCACAUUCAUUAUGCAUGACUUCCAUGUUGCUGUUAAUUUCUCGGAGCCAGCCAAGUCGAGG
Non-coding RNA from Xyrichtys novacula (pearly razorfish), 37018 nucleotides. The record is from the annotation of a GenBank genome assembly. NCBI's taxonomy places the organism in Eukaryota, Metazoa, Chordata, Actinopteri, Labriformes, Labridae.